GAUUAGUGGCGAACGGUAGAGUAACACGUGAGUAACCUGCCCUUAACUCUGGGAUAAGCCUGGGAAACUGGGUCUAAUACCGGAUAUGACUCCUCAUCGCAUGGUGGGGGGUGGAAAGCUUUUUGUGGUUUUGGAUGGACUCGCGGCCUAUCAGCUUGUUGGUGAGGUAAUGGCUUACCAAGGCGACGACGGGUAGCCGGCCUGAGAGGGUGACCGGCCACACUGGGACUGAGACACGGCCCAGACUCCUACGGGAGGCAGCAGUGGGGAAUAUUGCACAAUGGGCGCAAGCCUGAUGCAGCGACGCCGCGUGAGGGAUGACGGCCUUCGGGUUGUAAACCUCUUUCAGUAGGGAAGAAGCGAAAGUGACGGUACCUGCAGAAGAAGCGCCGGCUAACUACGUGCCAGCAGCCGCGGUAAUACGUAGGGCGCAAGCGUUAUCCGGAAUUAUUGGGCGUAAAGAGCUCGUAGGCGGUUUGUCGCGUCUGCCGUGAAAGUCCCGGGGCUCAACUCCGGAUUCUGCGGUGGGUACGGGCAGACUAGAGUGAUGUAGGGGAGACUGGAAUUCCUGGUGUAGCGGUGAAAUGCGCAGAUAUCAGGAGGAACACCGAUGGCGAAGGCAGGUCUCUGGGCAUUAACUGACGCUGAGGAGCGAAAGCAUGGGGAGCGAACAGGAUUAGAUACCCUGGUAGUCCAUGCCGUAAACGUUGGGCACUAGGUGUGGGGGACAUUCCACGUUUUCCGCGCCGUAGCUAACGCAUUAAGUGCCCCGCCUGGGGAGUACGGCCGCAAGGCUAAAACUCAAAGGAAUUGACGGGGGCCCGCACAAGCGGCGGAGCAUGCGGAUUAAUUCGAUGCAACGCGAAGAACCUUACCAAGGCUUGACAUGAACCGGAAACACCUGGAGACAGGUGCCCCGCUUGCGGUCGGUUUACAGGUGGUGCAUGGUUGUCGUCAGCUCGUGUCGUGAGAUGUUGGGUUAAGUCCCGCAACGAGCGCAACCCUCGUUCUAUGUUGCCAGCACGUGAUGGUGGGGACUCAUAGGAGACUGCCGGGGUCAACUCGGAGGAAGGUGGGGACGACGUCAAAUCAUCAUGCCCCUUAUGUCUUGGGCUUCACGCAUGCUACAAUGGCCGGUACAAAGGGUUGCGAUACUGUGAGGUGGAGCUAAUCCCAAAAAGCCGGUCUCAGUUCGGAUUGGGGUCUGCAACUCGACCCCAUGAAGUCGGAGUCGCUAGUAAUCGCAGAUCAGCAACGCUGCGGUGAAUACGUUCCCGGGCCUUGUACACACCGCCCAGCAAGUCAUCAAAGUUCGGGACACCCGAAGUCG
This 1330-nucleotide ribosomal RNA is filed under the name Micrococcaceae bacterium CH19B. RNAcentral's name for it is "16S ribosomal RNA". It matches the Rfam family "Bacterial small subunit ribosomal RNA", at positions 90 to 1429 of the family's 1533-position model. Lineage: Bacteria; Bacillati; Actinomycetota; Actinomycetes; Micrococcales; Micrococcaceae. The record is from RNAcentral.